GUUCAUUUAGCUUAAUGGUAGAGCAACUAUUUUCUAAAUAGUGUGAUACGGGUUCAAUUCCUGUAAUGAAUU
RNAcentral lists this transfer RNA (72 nucleotides) under Rickettsiales bacterium. RNAcentral describes it as "tRNA-Arg". It matches the Rfam family "tRNA". Rfam says of the family: Transfer RNA (tRNA) molecules are approximately 80 nucleotides in length. Lineage: Bacteria; Pseudomonadati; Pseudomonadota; Alphaproteobacteria; Rickettsiales. The record is from RNAcentral.